This 253-nucleotide ribosomal RNA is filed under the name uncultured bacterium. RNAcentral describes it as "partial 16S ribosomal RNA". It matches the Rfam family "Bacterial small subunit ribosomal RNA", at positions 524 to 776 of the family's 1533-position model. The record is from RNAcentral.
UACAGAGGGUGCGAGCGUUAAUCGGAAUUACUGGGCGUAAAGCGCGCGUAGGCGGCUUUGCAAGUCGGGUGUGAAAUCCCCAGGCUUAACCUGGGAACUGCAUUCGAGACUGCAUUGCUAGAGUAUGGGAGAGGGAAGUGGAAUUUCCGGUGUAGCGGUGAAAUGCGUAGAUAUGCGGAGGAACACCGAUGGCGAAGGCAAUCCCCUGGGCCUGCACUGACGCUCAUGCACGAAAGCGUGGGGAGCAAACAGG